UCGAUAGCUCAGUUGGUAGAGCAAAGGACUGAAAAUCCUUGUGUCGGUGGUUCAAGUCCACCUCGAG
RNAcentral lists this transfer RNA (67 nucleotides) under marine eukaryotic metagenome. It matches the Rfam family "tRNA". Rfam says of the family: Transfer RNA (tRNA) molecules are approximately 80 nucleotides in length. Their secondary structure includes four short double-helical elements and three loops (D, anti-codon, and T loops). The record is from RNAcentral.